GCCCAAUGGACGAAAGUCUGAGGCAGCAACUCCGCGUGAGGGACGAAGGCUCUCGGGUCGUAAACCUCUUUUCUCAGGGAAGAUCCAAGACGGUACCUGAGGAAUAAGCCACGGCUAACUACGUGCCAGCAGCCGCGGUAAUACGUAGGUGGCAAGCGUUGUCCGGAUUUACUGGGCGUAAAGAGCGCGCAGGCGGCUGGUCAAGUCCGAUGUGAAAUCUCCCGGCUCAACUGGGAAACUGCAUCGGAAACUGAUCGGCUUGAAGGUGGGAGAGGGUAGUGGAAUUCCCGGUGUAGUGGUGAAAUGCGUAGAUAUCGGGAGGAACACCAGUGGCGAAGGCGACUACCUGGCCCACUCUUGACGCUGAGGCGCGAAAGCUAGGGGAGCGAACGGGAUUAGAUACCCCGGUAGUCCUAGCCGUAAACGAUGAACACUAGGCGUAGUCGGUAUCGACCCCGGCUGUGCCGUAGCCAACGCAUUAAGUGUUCCGCCUGGGGAGUACGGCCGCAAGGCUA
RNAcentral lists this ribosomal RNA (515 nucleotides) under uncultured bacterium. Its description in RNAcentral is "bacterial SSU rRNA". It matches the Rfam family "Bacterial small subunit ribosomal RNA", at positions 366 to 896 of the family's 1533-position model. The record is from RNAcentral.